This 498-nucleotide long non-coding RNA is filed under the name Panax ginseng (ginseng). Its description in RNAcentral is "long non-coding RNA (PGIN_LNC018915)". Lineage: Eukaryota; Viridiplantae; Streptophyta; Magnoliopsida; Apiales; Araliaceae. The record is from RNAcentral.
AAUGCUCUUAUACAGGGUAUACCUUUCUUUUUAUUCUUUCACAACUCUACCCUAUACCACAUUACACUUUGUGGCUUGUUCCACACAGUGGGGAAUUGUUCCAUUACAACCAUAUAUCUGGUAUUAGUUCUCCUGCAAGUAUUCUACCCACUUAUUGUUUAUUGUUCAGACAAAUAAAUAAAUAAAAUAACAUAUUGAUUAGAUUAUACCCAUAGGAUAUUAUUGUUGAGUCAUGAUUUUACUUUUCCUUUUCAUAAUCUUGACUGUUGUAAGGGCUAAAUGCUUCAGCAAACCAGUUCUUCUUCCUCCAUGAGUUCCAUCCCAUCUCUUCAAAUAUUCCAAUUAACCAGUCCAUUAUUCCUGUCCGCCAAGACUUUUCCAAAAAGAAACCUAAUGGCUAUUUUCUCCAAAAUUGGCAUUGUAGGAGCUGGCAUUAGCGGUAUAGCUGCUGUUAAACAGCUCUCGGAAUACAACCCAGUGGUUUUUGAGGCCUCCAAC